This is a non-coding RNA of Bradyrhizobium sp. LTSP849, 160 nucleotides long. The record is from Rfam. Lineage: Bacteria; Pseudomonadati; Pseudomonadota; Alphaproteobacteria; Hyphomicrobiales; Nitrobacteraceae.
AAAUGAAGGGUGUCGCCGGCAUCAGUCGCCCCCGCCGACGGCGCCCUUCGGGGGAGCAGCGUAACGUUCGCUUCCCCAGUCUACCUUCCGGUGGAAUUACGCCCCCCUCCGUCGGAAGGCCUAGGGCGGUGAGGUCCCCCCAGCUUCACCGCCCGCCUUU